UGGAAGGGCUCUGCUGUGAAGUCAUGCUGGCAAACAGGAACCUUUAAGUUUGACCUCAAAUCAGGUAGGAUUACCCGCUGAACUUAAGCAUAUCAAUAAGCGGAGGAAAAGAAACCAACUGGGAUUGCCUUAGUAACGGCGAGUGAAGCGGCAAAAGCUCAAAUUUGAAAUCUGGUACCUUUGGUGCCCGAGUUGUAAUUUGUAGAGUACCACUUUGGGACUAUACUUUGCCUAUGUUCCUUGGAACAGGACGUCAUGGAGGGUGAGAAUCCCGUGUGGCGAGGGUGUUAGUUCUUUGUAAAGGGUGCUCGAAGAGUCGAGUUGUUUGGGAAUGCAGCUCUAAGUGGGUGGUAAAUUCCAUCUAAAGCUAAAUACAGGCGAGAGACCGAUAGCGAACAAGUACAGUGAUGGAAAGAUGAAAAGAACUUUGAAAAGAGAGUGAAAAAGUACGUGAAAUUGUUGAAAGGGAAGGGCAUUUGAUCAGACAUGGUGUUUUGCGCCCCUCGCUCCUUGUGGGUGGGGGACUCUCGCAGCUCACUGGGCCAGCAUCAGUUUUUGCGGCAGGACAAAACCUUGGGAAUGUAGCUGUGCGCCUCGGUGUACAGUGUUAUAGCUCUUGGGAAUACUGCCAGCGGGGACUGAGGACUGCGAUACUUGUUAUCUAGGAUGCUGGCAUAAUGGUUAUAUGCCGCCCGUCUUGAAACACGGACCAAGGAGUCUAACGUCUAUGCGAGUGUUUGGGUGUUAAACCCGUACGCGUAAUGAAAGUGAACGUAGGUUGGGGCCCUGUUAUGGGGUGCACAAUCGACCGAUCCUGAUGUCUUCGGAUGGAUU
Molecule: ribosomal RNA, 834 nt
Filed under: Tortispora caseinolytica
Lineage: Eukaryota; Fungi; Ascomycota; Trigonopsidomycetes; Trigonopsidales; Trigonopsidaceae
Description: LSU rRNA
Rfam family: Eukaryotic large subunit ribosomal RNA
Source: RNAcentral